RNAcentral lists this long non-coding RNA (2320 nucleotides) under Homo sapiens (human). RNAcentral describes it as "HSALNT0350400". Lineage: Eukaryota; Metazoa; Chordata; Mammalia; Primates; Hominidae. The record is from RNAcentral.
CCUGCUCUCCAUCAUGUGAGGAUAAAGCAAGAAGACAGCCUUCUGCAAACUAGGAGGAGAGUCCUCACCAGAACCUGGCCAUGCUGGCACACUUCUCUCAAACUUCACAGCUUCCUCAAAUAUGAGAAAUAACUUCUGUUGUUCAAUUCACCCAGUCUAUGGCGAUUGGUUAUGACAGCCUGAGCUAACAAAGACAGGAGCCCUGGGGCUGAGGGUCACAUUCAGCUUCUCCUCUCAGCCAACUUCUAACUAGGUCCCUGAGUGGGCUGGAUGCUUUUCCCACCCAUACAAGGGCAACCAUUAGCUUCUGGACACCCUGGCUGUGGGACAGAUGAAGGAGGAAAUGGUGUUGCAUGUUUCAAACUGUACCCCAACCCUAGAUGAGGUGAUAUGCCCAGCAUCUUCACAGGAUUCCUUUGAAACACCCACUUCGCUGGUAAUUACAGUUUAGUAUCUGUCUUCCUUGCUAAAUCAUGAGCUUCUCAAGGGCAGGACUGAGUCCCUUGUUCACUGUGUGUCUGCAGCACUCAGCUCAAUGUCUUGUACAUAAAUAUGUGUUAAAUUAAUCAAUAGUUAACAAAAUGUUAAAAUGGAACUCUUUCUGUUCCCAAAGUCUAGAAUCAAAAAGGUGAUUAGUAUCUCUAAGUUCCAGAGAGAGAGACAAUGGAUCAAAUGUGUGGGGCUCACCUAAAUGUGUGAGGUCACCUAAACUGCUUUUGCCACCUGUACUGUAAUAGUUCUAUUUAGGCCCUCAGUUGAUUGGUUGAUGCUCUUCUACAUUGGUGAGGCAGAUUGUCUGUACUCAGUCUACUGAUUCAAAUGCUAAUCUCUUCCAGAAACAUCCUCACAGAUAUACCCAGAAAUAAUGUUUUACCAGCUAUCCGAGGAUGUAUCAAAGCAUCCUUCAGCCCAGUCGAGUUGACACAUACACUUAACCAUCCCAAGGGGAUUUGAGGCAGAAGCCUUUUCAUGUCUUUCCUGGAAAUCACAGAAGUAGAGGACUGCUGGGGUGCAAUAUAAGACCUGGGUUCAAAUCUGCUCAUUCUCCAUCUAGUUGUGCAAGCAAGGACAAGUCACUUCUCUGAACACACUGCUCAUCAUCAGGAAGAUGGGAAUAAUGAGAGCUUGUCUUUCAGAGCUGUUUCAAAACUUAGAGAGUUGUAAAAAGUGCUCAGUACAGAGUAGGCAUUCAAUAAAGGAUAGUGGCAAUAAUAACAACAAUAAGACUGCUAUUGUUAUUCCCCGUUCUGAGAAAACCACCUUGCAUUUAAUAGAUGUUCAAUGAAUUAUUCUGGCUGAGUUAAUUUUCUUUUGAUACUCAAAAACAGGAAUGUCCUGACUGCAGACAAAAAGGCUCACUCAAUUAACUCCAUGUUUUGAAGUGUCAAUAAGGGCAGAAAAAAGGCAUUUCUUUGCUUCUUGUUUUUAUGAUCUCAUCAUCUGCUAUGGUUUUUAGAUGGGAAAAUGUGAUUGUCAAUUAAGAAUCUGAAAAAGUGUUCCCUUUAUUAAAAGACACACACACAAAACAUAAGCACCAUAUUUCACACUGAAUCGGAGCUGCUGCUGGCUAGCUGAAAUUUACUGCCUCAUGUCCCAGCAAAGAGAAUUUGCAGCUGGAUUAAUGCCCCUUUCUCUGGUAGUGAAUCAAUUUUGUACAUAUGGCCAUAUUUUCACCCAAGUGAUAGGCAGCAAUGGCUGCUAUUUUGUAGUCACUGUAGGAAAACUCAGGGGUACCUCCCAAGAAAGGCACUUUGAGCAUCCUCCAUGAAUAAUGUAGCAUCAUGACAUUUUCUGGGGAGAGGCAUUUUAGCAAGUCCAGCUUGGUCAUUUCAAAAAUGGGAAAACUGAGAUGGGGCCUUAGCAAAGCACAUACGCUCCUCUCCAUCAGGCUGGGUUCCUCAUUUCCUCUUUGCAUCCCACAUUCUGGGAAUGCCGGGCUUCUUCCUUCCUGGCCUCAUGCACCCCUUCCUCUGCCUGGCCUGGCUGCAUUGUGACUCUUCCUGGGGUUCUUCUGUUGUCCCUCAGCGGAGGAGUUGUAUUUGUUUGUUCUCAUGCUGCUAAUAAAGACAUACCCAAGACUGGGUAAUUUAAAAGAAAAAGAGGUUUAAUGGUCUCACAAUUCCACAUGGCUGAGGAAACCUCACAAUCAUGGCAGAAGGCAAAUAAGGAGCAAAGUCAUGUCUUACAUGGUGGCAGGCAAGAAAGCGUGUACAGAACGGCCCUUUAUAAAACCAUCAGAUCUCAUGAGACUUAUUCACUAUCACAAGAACGGCAUGGGAAAAACCUGUCCCCAUGACUCAAUUACCUCCCAACAGGUCCC